GGUGGAGCGAUUUGUCUGGUUAAUUCCGAUAACGAACGAGACUCUAGCCUACUAAAUAGACAGUACUUCUUUACGAGUGCUGCGCUUCUUAGAGGGACAAGCGGCUUCUAGCUGCACGAGAUUGAGCAAUAACAGGUCUGUGAUGCCCUUAGAUGUUCGGGGCUGCACGCGCGCUACACUGAAGACAUCAACAUGCAUCUCAACCUACUCCGGAAGGAGCGGGUAACCCGUUGAAACGUCUUCGUGAUUGGGAUAGGGAAUUGCAAUUAUUUCCCUUGAACGAGGAAUUCCCAGUAAGUACGAGUCAUCAGCUCGUGUUGAAUACGUCCCUGCCCUUUGUAC
Molecule: ribosomal RNA, 342 nt
Filed under: Nematoda environmental sample
Lineage: Eukaryota; Metazoa; Nematoda
Description: SSU rRNA
Rfam family: Eukaryotic small subunit ribosomal RNA
Source: RNAcentral